RNAcentral lists this ribosomal RNA (166 nucleotides) under uncultured bacterium. RNAcentral's name for it is "partial 16S rRNA". It matches the Rfam family "Bacterial small subunit ribosomal RNA", at positions 355 to 511 of the family's 1533-position model. The record is from RNAcentral.
UAGGGAAUCUUUCCACAAAUGGGCGCAAGCCUGAUGGAGCAACACCGCGUGAGUGAAGAAGGGUUUCGGCUCGUAAAGCUCUGUUGUUAAAGAAGAACACGUAUGAGAGUAACUGUUCAUACGUUGACGGUAUUUAACCAGAAAGUCACGGCUAACUACGUGCCAC